AAACCGUUCAGGGGUAAACCUAAGAAACCCAAAAGAUCGAACGGGGAGAUUCAUCGUCAGCGGCGCUGGCCUCACGUCGGUGGGCGAUGUCUCGCAGAGUCGCUUGCGGCUCGAGCGCGGGCACGCUACCGCGCGUCGACGUCCGGCGCUCGUCGUCGUGCACUUCUCCCCUAGUAGAACGUCGCGACCCGCUGGGUGUCGGUCUACGGCCCGAGUGCGGUGACUGUCGCGUCGCCGGUAAAACGGCACGCGGCAAACCCUCGGUCGCCCGACCGGCUGCCCGACGGUACACGCAAGGUAUCAGGCCGCACUCUCUAUGUGUUGUGCGUCGAGACCGUCGCAAGCGCGCGCCCACGGUACACGGCGGUACGGACCUAGCGCCGUCCCCUGUCCUGGCCCGCUGUUGGUCGUACGGUACACCUUCGACAGGCCUUCGAACGUGCUCUCCCCGGAGAGCUCCGAUACCGGUCGGCGACGCUACUGCUUUGGGUACUCUUAGGA
Molecule: ribosomal RNA, 501 nt
Filed under: Nothomyrmecia macrops
Lineage: Eukaryota; Metazoa; Arthropoda; Insecta; Hymenoptera; Formicidae
Description: eukaryotic LSU rRNA
Source: RNAcentral